Long non-coding RNA from Drosophila innubila, 472 nucleotides. RefSeq lists it as uncharacterized. The record is from RefSeq and is a predicted model, not a curated record. Lineage: Eukaryota; Metazoa; Arthropoda; Insecta; Diptera; Drosophilidae. The transcript is spliced from 2 exons.
AAAACUAACUAAAAGUCAAAAGCCAACACGUAUAGUAUGAUCUAUAUACAAAUAUACUCAUAUAGAUCCGCAAUCGAAACUUCCUAUUCAAUUUCCGUUUUCGUUCUUUAUGCUAUUGAAUCGAUACUUACUAUAAUUGAUAGCAGCUGGUAAUACUUACCUAACAACAAUAGCAAUCUACAUAUAUCCUAAAAAUAUAAAGAUAAUACAUAUGCAACAACUACGAACUUAAAACUACGCCACAAAAAUGCACUAAGCUGCUGUUAACACCGGAUAUCAUAUUCAUAUCACUCACAAAAAACAGGAUAAAAGGAUAGCAGAGCGAAGAUAAUGCAUCGAGUUAUCAGAGUUGCAGCUCCAAUAUAUUUAAUUAGUUUUUUGAUAAAUAAACGAUAAUAAGCAACAAAAGCAAAAGCAAACGUAAUUCAAGGCCAGCCGCAAUUUAGUUAGUGACAUAUGAAAAAUAAAUAAA